Molecule: transfer RNA, 73 nt
Filed under: Streptomyces phage Forrest
Lineage: Duplodnaviria; Heunggongvirae; Uroviricota; Caudoviricetes; Stanwilliamsviridae
Also listed under: 1 other name
Description: tRNA-Ile
Rfam family: tRNA
About the family: Transfer RNA (tRNA) molecules are approximately 80 nucleotides in length. Their secondary structure includes four short double-helical elements and three loops (D, anti-codon, and T loops).
Source: RNAcentral
CCCUGGUUAACUAACUGGUAAAGUAGCCGAUUUAUAGUCGGAUAUAUGUGGGUUCGAAUCCCUCACCAGGGAC